RNAcentral lists this ribosomal RNA (600 nucleotides) under uncultured bacterium. Its description in RNAcentral is "bacterial SSU rRNA". It matches the Rfam family "Bacterial small subunit ribosomal RNA", at positions 68 to 674 of the family's 1533-position model. The record is from RNAcentral.
UGUAGCUCCCGGGUGACGAGCGGCGGACGGGUGAGUAAUUGCUAGGGAAACUGCCUGAUGGAGGGGGAUAACUACUGGAAACGGUAGCUAAUACCGCAUAACGUCGCAAGACCAAAGAGGGGGACCUUCGGGCCUCUUGCCAUCAGAUGUGCCCAGAUGGGAUUAGCUAGUAGUGGGGUAACGGCUCACCUAGGCGACGAUCCCUAGCUGGUCUGAGAGGAUGACCAGCCACACUGGAACUGAGACACGGUCCAGACUCCUACGGGAGGCAGCAGUGGGGAAUAUUGCACAAUGGGCGCAAGCCUGAUGCAGCCAUGCCGCGUGUAUGAAGAAGGCCUUCGGGUUGUAAAGUACUUUCAGCGGGGAGGAAGGUGUUGUGGUUAAUAACCACAGCAAUUGACGUUACCCGCAGAAGAAGCACCGGCUAACUCCGUGCCAGCAGCCGCGGUAAUACGGAGGGUGCAAGCGUUAAUCGGAAUUACUGGGCGUAAAGCGCACGCAGGCGGUCUGUCAAGUCGGGAUGUGAAAUCCCCGGGCUCAACCUGGGGAACUGGAUUCGAAACUGGCAAGGCUUAAAGUCCUUUGGUCACAAAGGGGGGG